RNAcentral lists this ribosomal RNA (456 nucleotides) under Vibrio parahaemolyticus. Its description in RNAcentral is "bacterial SSU rRNA". It matches the Rfam family "Bacterial small subunit ribosomal RNA", at positions 68 to 526 of the family's 1533-position model. Lineage: Bacteria; Pseudomonadati; Pseudomonadota; Gammaproteobacteria; Vibrionales; Vibrionaceae. The record is from RNAcentral.
GGGGGACGAUAACGGCGUCGAGCGGCGGACGGGUGAGUAAUGCCUAGGAAAUUGCCCUGAUGUGGGGGAUAACCAUUGGAAACGAUGGCUAAUACCGCAUGAUGCCUACGGGCCAAAGAGGGGGACCUUCGGGCCUCUCGCGUCAGGAUAUGCCUAGGUGGGAUUAGCUAGUUGGUGAGGUAAGGGCUCACCAAGGCGACGAUCCCUAGCUGGUCUGAGAGGAUGAUCAGCCACACUGGAACUGAGACACGGUCCAGACUCCUACGGGAGGCAGCAGUGGGGAAUAUUGCACAAUGGGCGCAAGCCUGAUGCAGCCAUGCCGCGUGUGUGAAGAAGGCCUUCGGGUUGUAAAGCACUUUCAGUCGUGAGGAAGGUAGUGUAGUUAAUAGCUGCAUUAUUUGACGUUAGCGACAGAAGAAGCACCGGCUAACUCCGUGCCAGCAGCCGCGGUAAUAC